RNAcentral lists this ribosomal RNA (447 nucleotides) under uncultured bacterium. Its description in RNAcentral is "partial 16S ribosomal RNA". It matches the Rfam family "Bacterial small subunit ribosomal RNA", at positions 28 to 523 of the family's 1533-position model. The record is from RNAcentral.
GGCGAACGCUGGCGGCAGGCUUAACACAUGCAAGUCGAGCGCCCCGCAAGGGGAGCGGCAGACGGGAGAGUAACACGUGGGAACAUACCUUUUGGUUCGGAACAACUGAGGGAAACUUCAGCUAAUACCGGAUAAACCCUUACGGGGAAAGAUUUAUCGCCGAAAGAUUGGCCCGCGUCUGAUUAGCUAGUUGGUGAGGUAACGGCUCACCAAGGCGACGAUCAGUAGCUGGUCUGAGAGGGUGAGCAGCCUCACUGGGACUGAGACACGGCCCAGAAUCCUACGGGAGGCAGCAGUGGGGAAUAUUGGACAAUGGGCGCAAGCCUGAUCCAGCCAUGCCGCGUGAGUGAUGAAGGCCUUAGGGUUGUAAAGCUCUUUUAACGGGGAAGAUAAUGACGGUACCCGUAGAAUAAGCCCCGGCUAACUUCGUGCCAGCAGCCGCCGUAA